Molecule: long non-coding RNA, 809 nt
Organism: Neolamprologus brichardi
Lineage: Eukaryota; Metazoa; Chordata; Actinopteri; Cichliformes; Cichlidae
Source: RefSeq, a predicted model, not a curated record
AGACAAGCGAUACCAAGCUCCUGGAGCACUGAUGAGGGCGACAGAGAGGAGGAGAAGAAGAGCGGGAGGAAAAAAGAAGGAGAUGAGUAAAGAAGAAAGUGAGUGAGAAAAUGAAUAAAGAGUUUCCAAAUGCAGAGCAUUGAAAGUAGGAGAGUAAGAGAAAGAUGAGGAGAAAGAAGAAGAACGUAGUAGAAAAAGAGGCAGGAAGUAUGAAGAUAUAGCACGGGAAGAUAAACACUAUAGAAACAAAAAAGAGUGUUCAGGAAGCAGAGGAGGGAGUUUUGAGUGAUAGCGAACAUACUGUAGAUGAAAGCUGUCGGAGGAGUGGGACGCUGAGAAGCGUCAGCAUUGUCAGAGCAUGUUCAGCCCUCAGGGACAGCCAGGGGCCGGCCGUCAGCCUUUAUUUGGAGAGCAGAAGCUUUUCCACACUACCUGAAAUCAGCUGAGAGGUUAAGUCGUGGUGUGUGCAAGCUGCCAGCAUCAGAUCAUCGUCCUCAAAGUGUGGAGGCAAGAAGGAAAGAUGUUGGGUGCCCCCCGGUGGAGACUGUGUACUGUGUGCAAAGUGCUCCCCGCUUUCCUUUCUGUGUUUGUUAGUUAAUCACCAUCUGCUGCUGCUGCAGUUAGUUGUAUAGCAAGAGUGGAGAGGAAAGGUGAGUAUUCUCAGUCAACCAGCUUCUCAUGCAAAUAAAUGGUUUUAAUGGCUCCACCGUGUGAUGAACAAAAAAGCUUCAAAAAUACUGGUUGACAGUUUGACUUGGUCCUGUCACUGAAGAUUAGCUUCCAUUAGCUACCACAGCACUGAUGGGUGG